AGAGUUUGAUCAUGGCUCAGGAUGAACGCUAGCUACAGGCUUAACACAUGCAAGUCGAGGGGCAGCAUUGGAGUAGCAAUACUCAGAUGGCGACCGGCGCACGGGUGAGUAACACGUAUCCAACCUGCCGCUUACUCGGGGAUAGCCUUUCGAAAGAAAGAUUAAUACCCGAUGGUAUAAAGAGUUCGCAUGUUCUCUUUAUUAAAGAAUUUCGGUAAGCGAUGGGGAUGCGUUCCAUUAGAUAGUUGGCGGGGUAACGGCCCACCAAGUCUACGAUGGAUAGGGGUUCUGAGAGGAAGGUCCCCCACAUUGGAACUGAGACACGGUCCAAACUCCUACGGGAGGCAGCAGUGAGGAAUAUUGGUCAAUGGACGAGAGUCUGAACCAGCCAAAAGUAGCGUGAAGGAUGACUGCCCUAUGGGUUGUAAACUUCUUUUAUAAGGGAAUAAAGUGAGGGACGUGUCCCUUUUUGUAUGUACCUUAUGAAUAAGGAUCGGCUAACUCCGUGCCAGCCGCGGC
This 519-nucleotide ribosomal RNA is filed under the name uncultured bacterium. RNAcentral's name for it is "bacterial SSU rRNA". It matches the Rfam family "Bacterial small subunit ribosomal RNA", at positions 8 to 518 of the family's 1533-position model. The record is from RNAcentral.